ACGAGCACUUUUACAGAUUUCUUCGGAAUGAAGUUUUAGCGACUGAGUGGCGGACGGGUGAGUAACGCGUGGGUAACCUGCCUCACACAGGGGGAUAACAGUUGGAAACGGCUGCUAAUACCGCAUAAGCGCACGGUACCGCAUGGUACAGUGUGAAAAACUCCGGUGGUGUGAGAUGGACCCGCGUCUGAUUAGCUAGUUGGCAGGGCAACGGCCUACCAAGGCGACGAUCAGUAGCCGACCUGAGAGGGUGACCGGCCACAUUGGGACUGAGACACGGCCCAAACUCCUACGGGAGGCAGCAGUGGGGAAUAUUGCACAAUGGGGGAAACCCUGAUGCAGCGACGCCGCGUGAGCGAAGAAGUAUUUCGGUAUGUAAAGCUCUAUCAGCAGGGAAGAAGAAAUGACGGUACCUGACUAAGAAGCACCGGCUAAAUACGUGCCAGCAGCCGCGGUAAUACGUAUGGUGCAAGCGUUAUCCGGAUUUACUGGGUGUAAAGGGAGCGCAGGCGGAAGGCUAAGUCUGAUGUGAAAGCCCGGGGCUCAACCCCGGUACUGCAUUGGAAACUGGUCAUCUAGAGUGUCGGAGGGGUAAGUGGAAUUCCUAGUGUAGCGGUGAAAUGCGUAGAUAUUAGGAGGAACACCAGUGGCGAAGGCGGCUUACUGGACGAUAACUGACGCUGAGGCUCGAAAGCGUGGGGAGCAAACAGGAUUAGAUACCCUGGUAGUC
Molecule: ribosomal RNA, 730 nt
Filed under: uncultured bacterium
Lineage: Bacteria
Description: bacterial SSU rRNA
Rfam family: Bacterial small subunit ribosomal RNA
Source: RNAcentral